This 433-nucleotide ribosomal RNA is filed under the name uncultured bacterium. RNAcentral's name for it is "partial 16S ribosomal RNA". It matches the Rfam family "Bacterial small subunit ribosomal RNA", at positions 29 to 507 of the family's 1533-position model. The record is from RNAcentral.
AACGAACGCUGGCGGCAGGCCUAACAUAUGCAAGUCGAGCGAGGACUUCGGUCCUAGCGGCGGACGGGUGAGUAACGCGUGGGAACGUGCCCUUUGCUUCGGAAUAGCCCUGGGAAACUGGGAGUAAUACCGGAUGAGCCCUUUGGGGGAAAGAUUUAUCGGCGAAGGAUCGGCCCGCGUUGGAUUAGGUAGUUGGUGGGGUAAUGGCCUACCAAGCCGACGAUCCAUAGCUGGUUUGAGAGGAUGAUCAGCCACACUGGGACUGAGACACGGCCCAGACUCCUACGGGAGGCAGCAGUGGGGAAUCUUAGACAAUGGGGGAAACCCUGAUCUAGCCAUGCCGCGUGAGCGAUGAAGGCCUUAGGGUUGUAAAGCUCUUUCAGCUGGGAAGAUAAUGACGGUACCAGCAGAAGAAGCCCCGGCUAACUCCGUG